GGGGCAUUAGCUCAGCUGGGAGAGCGCAACACUGGCAGUGUUGAGGUCAGCGGUUCGAGCCCGCUAUGCUCCACUA
Molecule: transfer RNA, 76 nt
Filed under: Halobacillus halophilus
Lineage: Bacteria; Bacillati; Bacillota; Bacilli; Caryophanales; Bacillaceae
Also listed under: 1 other name
Description: tRNA-Ala
Rfam family: tRNA
About the family: Transfer RNA (tRNA) molecules are approximately 80 nucleotides in length. Their secondary structure includes four short double-helical elements and three loops (D, anti-codon, and T loops).
Source: RNAcentral